AGAGUUUGAUCAUGGCUCAGAUUGAACGCUGGCGGCAGGCCUAACACAUGCAAGUCGAACGGUAACAGGAAGCAGCUUGCUGCUUCGCUGACGAGUGGUGGACGGGUGAGUAAUGUCUGGGAAGCUGCCUGAUGGAGGGGGAUAACUACUGGAAACGGUAGCUAAUACCGCAUAAUGUCGCAAGACCAAAGAGGGGGACCUUCGGGCCUCUUGCCAUCGGAUGUGCCCAGAUGGGAUUAGCUUGUUGGUGGGGUAACGGCUCACCAAGGCGACGAUCCCUAGCUGGUCUGAGAGGAUGACCAGCCACACUGGAACUGAGAUACGGUCCAGACUCCUACGGGAGGCAGCAGUGGGGAAUAUUGCACAAUGGGCGCAAGCCUGAUGCAGCCAUGCCGCGUGUAUGAAGAAGGCCUUCGGGUUGUAAAGUACUUUCAGCGGGGAGGAAGGGAGUAAAGUUAAUACCUUUGCUCAUUGACGUUACCCGCAGAAGAAGCACCGGCUAACUCCGUGCCAGCAGCCGCGGUAAUACGGAGGGUGCAAGCGUUAAUCGGAAUUACUGGGCGUAAAGCGCACGCAGGCGGUUUGUUAAGUCAGAUGUGAAAUCCCCGGGCUCAACCUGGGAACUGCAUCUGAUACUGGCAAGCUUGAGUCUCGUAGAGGGGGGUAGAAUUCCAGGUGUAGCGGUGAAAUGCGUAGAGAUCUGGAGGAAUACCGGUGGCGAAGGCGGCCCCCUGGACGAAGACUGACGCUCAGGUGCGAAAGCGUGGGGAGCAAACAGGAUUAGAUACCCUGGUAGUCCACGCCGUAAACGAUGUCGACUUGGAGGUUGUGCCCUUGAGGCGUGGCUUCCGGAGCUAACGCGUUAAGUCGACCGCCUGGGGAGUACGGCCGCAAGGUUAAAACUCAAAUGAAUUGACGGGGGCCCGCACAAGCGGUGGAGCAUGUGGUUUAAUUCGAUGCAACGCGAAGAACCUUACCUGGUCUUGACAUCCACGGAAGUUUUCAGAGAUGAGAAUGUGCCUUCGGGAACCGUGAGACAGGUGCUGCAUGGCUGUCGUCAGCUCGUGUUGUGAAAUGUUGGGUUAAGUCCCGCAACGAGCGCAACCCUUAUCUUUUGUUGCCAGCGGUCCGGCCGGGAACUCAAAGGAGACUGCCAGUGAUAAACUGGAGGAAGGUGGGGAUGACGUCAAGUCAUCAUGGACCUUACGACCGGGGCUACACACGUGCUAC
This 1230-nucleotide ribosomal RNA is filed under the name metagenome. Its description in RNAcentral is "bacterial SSU rRNA". It matches the Rfam family "Bacterial small subunit ribosomal RNA", at positions 8 to 1228 of the family's 1533-position model. The record is from RNAcentral.